RNAcentral lists this ribosomal RNA (440 nucleotides) under uncultured bacterium. Its description in RNAcentral is "partial 16S ribosomal RNA". It matches the Rfam family "Bacterial small subunit ribosomal RNA", at positions 338 to 795 of the family's 1533-position model. The record is from RNAcentral.
CCUACGGGAGGCAGCAGUGGGGGAUAUUGCACAAUGGGGGGAACCCUGAUGCAGCGACGCCGCGUGGGUGAAGAAGCGCCUCGGCGCGUAAAGCCCUGUCAGCAGGGAAGAAAAUGACGGUACCUGAAGCAGAAGCCCCGGCUAACUACGGGACAGCAGCCGCGGUAAUACGUAGGGGGCAAGCUGUAUCCGGAUUUACUGGGUGUAAAGGGGGCGCAGACGGCGAUGCAAGCCAGGAGUGAACGCCCGGGGCCCAACCCCGGGACUGCUCUUGGAACUGCGUGGCUGGAGUGCAGGAGGGGCAGGCGGAAUUCCUGGUGUAGCGGUGAAAUGCGUAGAUAUCAGGAGGAACACCGGUGGCGAAGGCGGCCUGCUGGACUGCAACUGACGUUGAGGCCCGAAAGCGUGGGGAGCAAACAGGAUUAGAUACCCCGGUAGUC